This 1382-nucleotide ribosomal RNA is filed under the name Brenneria salicis. RNAcentral describes it as "bacterial SSU rRNA". It matches the Rfam family "Bacterial small subunit ribosomal RNA", at positions 61 to 1433 of the family's 1533-position model. Lineage: Bacteria; Pseudomonadati; Pseudomonadota; Gammaproteobacteria; Enterobacterales; Pectobacteriaceae. The record is from RNAcentral.
GUCGAGCGGUAACACAGAGGAGCUUGCUCCUUGGGUGACGAGCGGCGGACGGGUGAGUAAAGUCUGGGGAUCUGCCUGAUGGAGGGGGAUAACUACUGGAAACGGUAGCUAAUACCGCAUGACGUCUUCGGACCAAAGUGGGGGACCUUCGGGCCUCACGCCAUGAGAUGAACCCAGAUGGGAUUAGCUGGUAGGUGAGGUAACGGCUCACCUAGGCGACGAUCCCUAGCUGGUCUGAGAGGAUGACCAGCCACACUGGAACUGAGACACGGUCCAGACUCCUACGGGAGGCAGCAGUGGGGAAUAUUGCACAAUGGGGGAAACCCUGAUGCAGCCAUGCCGCGUGUGUGAAGAAGGCCUUCGGGUUGUAAAGCACUUUCAGCGGGGAGGAAGGCAAUAAACUUAAUAAGUUUGUUGAUUGACGUUACCCGCAGAAGAAGCACCGGCUAACUCCGUGCCAGCAGCCGCGGUAAUACGGAGGGUGCAAGCGUUAAUCGGAAUGACUGGGCGUAAAGCGCACGCAGGCGGUCUGUUAAGUUGGAUGUGAAAUCCCCGGGCUCAACCCGGGAACAGCAUUCAAAACUGACAGGCUAGAGUCUCGUAGAGGGGGGUAGAAUUCCAGGUGUAGCGGUGAAAUGCGUAGAGAUCUGGAGGAAUACCGGUGGCGAAGGCGGCCCCCUGGACGAAGACUGACGCUCAGGUGCGAAAGCGUGGGGAGCAAACAGGAUUAGAUACCCUGGUAGUCCACGCCGUAAACGAUGUCGACUUGGAGGCUGUGGUCUUGAACCGUGGCUUCCGGAGCUAACGCGUUAAGUCGACCGCCUGGGGAGUACGGCCGCAAGGUUAAAACUCAAAUGAAUUGACGGGGGCCCGCACAAGCGGUGGAGCAUGUGGUUUAAUUCGAUGCAACGCGAAGAACCUUACCUACUCUUGACAUCCAGAGAAGACUGUAGAGAUACGGUUGUGCCUUCGGGAGCUCUGAGACAGGUGCUGCAUGGCUGUCGUCAGCUCGUGUUGUGAAAUGUUGGGUUAAGUCCCGCAACGAGCGCAACCCUUAUCCUUUGUUGCCAGCGAUACGGUCGGGAACUCAAAGGAGACUGCCGGUGAUAAACCGGAGGAAGGUGGGGAUGACGUCAAGUCAUCAUGGCCCUUACGAGUAGGGCUACACACGUGCUACAAUGGCGCAUACAAAGAGAAGCGAGCCUGCGAGGGUGAGCGGACCUCAUAAAGUGCGUCGUAGUCCGGAUUGGAGUCUGCAACUCGACUCCAUGAAGUCGGAAUCGCUAGUAAUCGUAGAUCAGAAUGCUACGGUGAAUACGUUCCCGGGCCUUGUACACACCGCCCGUCACACCAUGGGAGUGGGUUGCAAAAGAAGUAGGUAG